RNAcentral lists this ribosomal RNA (610 nucleotides) under uncultured bacterium. Its description in RNAcentral is "bacterial SSU rRNA". It matches the Rfam family "Bacterial small subunit ribosomal RNA", at positions 79 to 685 of the family's 1533-position model. The record is from RNAcentral.
CUUGCUUCUCUUGAGAGCGGCGGACGGGUGAGUAAUGCCUAGGAAUCUGCCUGGUAGUGGGGGAUAACGUUCGGAAACGGACGCUAAUACCGCAUACGUCCUACGGGAGAAAGCAGGGGACCUUCGGGCCUUGCGCUAUCAGAUGAGCCUAGGUCGGAUUAGCUAGUUGGUGGGGUAAUGGCUCACCAAGGCGACGAUCCGUAACUGGUCUGAGAGGAUGAUCAGUCACACUGGAACUGAGACACGGUCCAGACUCCUACGGGAGGCAGCAGUGGGGAAUAUUGGACAAUGGGCGAAAGCCUGAUCCAGCCAUGCCGCGUGUGUGAAGAAGGUCUUCGGAUUGUAAAGCACUUUAAGUUGGGAGGAAGGGUUGUAGAUUAAUACUCUGCAAUUUUGACGUUACCGACAGAAUAAGCACCGGCUAACUCUGUGCCAGCAGCCGCGGUAAUACAGAGGGUGCAAGCGUUAAUCGGAAUUACUGGGCGUAAAGCGCGCGUAGGUGGUUUGUUAAGUUGGAUGUGAAAUCCCCGGGCUCAACCUGGGAACUGCAUUCAAAACUGACUGACUAGAGUAUGGUAGAGGGUGGUGGAAUUUCCUGUGUAGCGGUGAA